CGCCCGGUAGGCGUGGCCGGGGUCCUCUCCGCCUUGCCGGGUUCUCGGGACCCUACUCCUAGGAGCCGUAGGUCUUCCGCCCUGCAGAAGGAUCCAGCCCACGUGGACUACGAGGAUCUCUUCCUUUACUAUAACACUGUGGCUGAGGGCGCCCACAGCCCCGGUCCCCGGGAAGCUCAGACGCCGUCCCGCCCGCCUGAGGAGGCCUCCGAAAAGAAGGCGCCCGCAGUGGUCCACGGAGAGCCUGCAUCUGCAUCCUGCUCCCCGAAAGCGCCUUUCUGGGAAGCCCGCCGGAAACUGUGGCAGACCCUGAAGACGGUGCCGCGGACUGGCAGGAAGGCUCAGCGGCUGCUCAGCGAUCACCUGGCAGCGACCGUGCAGCCCCGCUGCCCUGUGACCCGAGCGGCCAGCUGGGACAGCCCGCGCCGCCCCGCUGAGCCCCGUGCAGCCCCCUCUUUCCCAACCCCCCCAGAGCCCCAGACUUGGAAAGGCAGAGACGCCGCCUCCAAGAAGGCCGCCAGUGCUACCAGCUGGAGGGACACAGCCUCGGGGCUUAGGGCUUGGCCAGGGAAGAUGAUGAGGGCCCUGUCGGUCCAGGAAACCAAACCCCAGACCCAAGACUUGACAGCCCAGGAUUGGCUACCCGAGGAGUACCUCCCUCCGCCACCAUUCGCCCCUGGGUACUGAUGACGCUCCUACUCCUCUGAGUUUCUAUGCCCCUCUGGGUAUCCGUCCUCCUCCCCUCCCCGGUCCCACACCUGCCCUGGCAAUCCGAGAACUGCACUCAAGAGGUUGGGAGGGGGCGAUUUCUGAAGUUGGGGUCUGCUGGGGAUGCUGGUUUUUAAUAAUAAAAUUACAGCACUGAGGGCCCCCAAGAUGGCUCAGCAAGUAAAGGCUGUCAAAGCUAAUGACCAGAGUUUGAAGUUCGAGUCCCAAGACCCACAUGGUGAAAGGAGAAAACACUCCUUCAAAUUGUCCUCUGACCUCCACACAAAUAAUUAAUAAAUAAAAAAUAAUUAAAUGUAAUUUUAGAAAUCACAGCAGUGAUUUGGUAUACCAAGCACAUGUCAAGCCUGUGCCUCACCUUCUAUAAUCUCUGUAUCCACCGGCCGUAUCUGAUUCAGCCACACACAAAAAUAUUUUUCUGAAACGUGACAUCCUGGAUUGGGGAAAUGGCUCAGUAGGUAAAGUGCUUGCCCUGAAAGCAAAAGGAUCUGAGUUCAAAUUCCCAGAAGGUGGGAAGUAGGUGGUUUGCCUCCCCUAUGCAGCAGUGGCUCACAGAAAUAGACCUCAGGACUGGAGAGAUGGCUCAGCAGUUAAGAGCACCUGCUGCUCUUGCAGAGGGCCUGGGUUUGGUUCCCAGCACCAUGUCUAUAACUCUAGCUCCAGAGGAUGCCUCUGGCCUCCAAAGGCAAUUGCAUUCCUGUGCACACAGCCCCUUCCACAUAUGCAUAAUUUUAAAGACU
RNAcentral lists this long non-coding RNA (1466 nucleotides) under Nannospalax galili (Upper Galilee mountains blind mole rat). Its description in RNAcentral is "lncRNA (ENSNGAG00000024488.1)". The record is from RNAcentral. Lineage: Eukaryota; Metazoa; Chordata; Mammalia; Rodentia; Spalacidae.